AAGUCGUAACAAGGUUUCCGUAGGUGAACCUGCGGAAGGAUCAUUAACAAAUCCUGGAUUGUUGUGCAGGGUGUUUCAUUCGAACAGGGAUCCAUUCCUGCUCGUUUGAUUUGUGCACUCUUCACACAAUACACACGUUCCAUGUGCAUUCAUUUGUGCAUGAUAACAUUUCUACGAAUCAUCUGAUGGUCGCAUAUCUAAUUUAUAAAGACUUUUAACAAUGGAUCUCUAGGCUCUU
RNAcentral lists this unclassified non-coding RNA (238 nucleotides) under fungal sp. RNAcentral describes it as "partial contains small subunit ribosomal RNA, internal transcribed spacer 1, and 5.8S ribosomal RNA". The stretch from base 1 to 46 matches the Rfam family "Eukaryotic small subunit ribosomal RNA", at positions 1786 to 1831 of the family's 1831-position model. Lineage: Eukaryota; Fungi. The record is from RNAcentral.